GACGAACGCUGGCGGCGUGCUUAACACAUGCAAGUCGAACGGAAAGGCCCUUCGGGGUACUCGAGUGGCGAACGGGUGAGUAACACGUGGGUGAUCUGCCCUGCACUUUGGGAUAAGCCUGGGAAACUGGGUCUAAUACCGAAUAGGACCACGCGCUUCAUGGUGUGUGGUGGAAAGCUUUUGCGGUGUGGGAUGGGCCCGCGGCCCAUCAGCUUGUUGGUGGGGUAAUGGCCUACCAAGGCGACGACGGGUAGCCGGCCUGAGAGGGUGACCGGCCACACUGGGACUGAGAUACGGCCCAGACUCCUACGGGAGGCAGCAGUGGGGAAUAUUGCACAAUGGGCGCAAGCCUGAUGCAGCGACGCCGCGUGAGGGAUGACGGCCUUCGGGUUGUAAACCUCUUUCACCAGGGACGAAGCGUAAGUGACGGUACCUGGAGAAGAAGCACCGGCCAACUACGUG
This 462-nucleotide ribosomal RNA is filed under the name uncultured bacterium. Its description in RNAcentral is "partial 16S ribosomal RNA". It matches the Rfam family "Bacterial small subunit ribosomal RNA", at positions 28 to 507 of the family's 1533-position model. The record is from RNAcentral.